Molecule: long non-coding RNA, 670 nt
Organism: Salvia miltiorrhiza (redroot sage)
Lineage: Eukaryota; Viridiplantae; Streptophyta; Magnoliopsida; Lamiales; Lamiaceae
Exons: 2
Source: RefSeq, a predicted model, not a curated record
GGAAUAUUGUAGCUAUAGAAUCAAAUAAUUCACUCUUAGCUUCUCAACUUGGUAUUUUGUCAUACAAAUGCAUUCUUUCAUCCUCUAUAAGUUGCAAUUUUAUCCUUAUUGCAGAAAAUAUUUGACAAAAGCCGCAGUUUGCAAAUAUUGAUCAAGUCUUGAUGUCGCAAGCCAAGAAUUGCCAGAGGAAGGUGAAUUUGACAGGUUUGGCAUUUUGCUUUGGUAUUUUCUUUAUGAAGAUAAUGACACCUUUUCAUUACAAGGCCAUGGUUUUUGGGUGCGAACCGUAGCCCGCCCGCCCACGUGGGCCCCACACGACGGGGCAUACGUUCUCGUCUCACCACGUGGGACGUGGGACACUAGAGAACUACUGUUUCUUCAAAUUAAUGGCUAACCUUGCUUAAGGCUGGUAGUGAUGAUGAUGAUAUCUUCAACUUAUUCAGCUAAUGUUUGGAUAAGCUAAUGACAUUUAUCCUUUGAUGCUAUUAAAAAUAAAAGUUUUGGCAGUUUGCAGUAUGCUUUACAUUGAUGCAUCGGCCAUCAUGCUAAGUCUUUCUCUCUCAGGCAAUGGGACUUCUCGCCAUAAAAUUAAAUGGUUAAGUGUUCUAUUUUAUAUUUCAACAUGAACUAUAUUCUAUGAAUACAAUGUAUCUAAGAUUUUUUUUCCAUA